RNAcentral lists this ribosomal RNA (787 nucleotides) under uncultured Mycobacterium sp. Its description in RNAcentral is "bacterial SSU rRNA". It matches the Rfam family "Bacterial small subunit ribosomal RNA", at positions 553 to 1338 of the family's 1533-position model. The record is from RNAcentral. Lineage: Bacteria; Bacillati; Actinomycetota; Actinomycetes; Mycobacteriales; Mycobacteriaceae.
ACUGGGCGUAAAGAGCUCGUAGGUGGUUUGUCGCGUUGUUCGUGAAAUCUCACGGCUUAACUGUGAGCGUGCGGGCGAUACGGGCAGACUUGAGUACUGCAGGGGAGACUGGAAUUCCUGGUGUAGCGGUGGAAUGCGCAGAUAUCAGGAGGAACACCGGUGGCGAAGGCGGGUCUCUGGGCAGUAACUGACGCUGAGGAGCGAAAGCGUGGGGAGCGAACAGGAUUAGAUACCCUGGUAGUCCACGCCGUAAACGGUGGGUACUAGGUGUGGGUUUCCUUCCUUGGGAUCCGUGCCGUAGCUAACGCAUUAAGUACCCCGCCUGGGGAGUACGGCCGCAAGGCUAAAACUCAAAGAAAUUGACGGGGGCCCGCACAAGCGGCGGAGCAUGUGGAUUAAUUCGAUGCAACGCGAAGAACCUUACCUGGGUUUGACAUGCACAGGACGCCGGCAGAGAUGUCGGUUCCCUUGUGGCCUGUGUGCAGGUGGUGCAUGGCUGACGUCAGCUCGUGUCGUGAGAUGUUGGGUUAAGUCCCGCAACGAGCGCAACCCUUGUCUCAUGUUGCCAGCGGGUAAUGCCGGGGACUCGUGAGAGACUGCCGGGGUCAACUCGGAGGAAGGUGGGGAUGACGUCAAGUCAUCAUGCCCCUUAUGUCCAGGGCUUCACACAUGCUACAAUGGCCGGUACAAAGGGCUGCGAUGCCGCGAGGUUAAGCGAAUCCUUUUAAAGCCGGUCUCAGUUCGGAUCGGGGUCUGCAACUCGACCCCGUGAAGUCGGAGUCGCUAG